CUUCGCCACUGGUGGUCCUCCCAGAAUUACAGGAUUUCACCCCUACUCUGGAAAUACCGUCGGCCUCUCCCGUCCCCUAGCCCAACAGUAUCUACCGCAGUCCAACGAUUGAAUCGCUGGAUUUAACGGAAGACUUGCUGAGCCGGCUACGGACGCUUUAAGCCCAAUAAUCGUCCCUACCA
Molecule: ribosomal RNA, 182 nt
Filed under: Candidatus Bathyarchaeota archaeon
Lineage: Archaea; Thermoproteati; Candidatus Bathyarchaeota
Description: partial 16S ribosomal RNA
Source: RNAcentral